GCAUGGCAGAAUUCCAAAUUCCAUUUCCUAUUGGUUUGUUUGGUCAGACACCAUGCAAUAAUAAAGUGACACUGAUCAGACUUCAUACUAAGUACAGCAGUGUUUAGCUGUAGGAAGUACUGUUCAUUGUUACAAUA
Small nucleolar RNA from Cryptotermes secundus, 137 nucleotides. RefSeq annotates it as small nucleolar RNA SNORA15. The record is from RefSeq and is a predicted model, not a curated record. The transcript has a single exon. NCBI's taxonomy places the organism in Eukaryota, Metazoa, Arthropoda, Insecta, Blattodea, Kalotermitidae.